UAACUGGGGCGGUUGCCUCCUAAAGAGUAACGGAGGCGCCCAAAGGUUCCCUCAGCCUGGUUGGUAAUCAGGUGUUGAGUGUAAGUGCACAAGGGAGCUUGACUGUGAGACCGACGGGUCGAGCAGGGACGAAAGUCGGGACUAGUGAUCCGGCGGUGGCUUGUGGAAGCGCCGUCGCUCAACGGAUAAAAGGUACCCCGGGGAUAACAGGCUGAUCUUCCCCAAGAGUCCAUAUCGACGGGAUGGUUUGGCACCUCGAUGUCGGCUCGUCGCAUCCUGGGGCUGGAGUCGGUCCCAAGGGUUGGGCUGUUCGCCCAUUAAAGCGGUACGCGAGCUGGGUUUAGAACGUCGUGAGACAGUUCGGUCCCUAUCCGCUGUGCGCGUAGGAAUAUUGAGAAGGGCUGUCCCUAGUACGAGAGGACCGGGACGGACGAACCUCUGGUGUGCCAGUUGUUCUGCCAAGGGCAUGGCUGGUUGGCUACGUUCGGGAGGGAUAACCGCUGAAAGCAUCUAAGCGGGAAGCCUGCUUCGAGAUGAGUAUUCCCACCUCCUUGAGAGGGUAAGGCUCCCAGUAGACGACUGGGUUGAUAGGCCGGAUAUGGAAGCCCUGUAAGGGGUGGAGUUGACCGGUACUAAUAGGCCGAGGGCUUGUCCUCAGUUG
This 661-nucleotide ribosomal RNA is filed under the name Streptomyces sp. SID8385. Its description in RNAcentral is "partial 23S ribosomal RNA". It matches the Rfam family "Bacterial large subunit ribosomal RNA", at positions 2270 to 2925 of the family's 2925-position model. The record is from RNAcentral. Lineage: Bacteria; Bacillati; Actinomycetota; Actinomycetes; Kitasatosporales; Streptomycetaceae.